GGGCAACAUAACAUCUCUUAAAAAAACAAAACAAAACAAAACAAAAAAACCCAACUUGAACAUUGUGGUGCACGUCUGUAGUCCUAGCUACUUGGGAGGCUGAACCUAGGAGUUGGAGGCUGCAGUGAGCUAUGAUUGUGCCUCCCAAAGUGCUGGGUUUACAGGCAUGAGCCACCAUGCCUGGCUGCUAAUAUUUUUAAUUGUCUUGCUUGCUUAUUCUAUGCAAUUAUAUGUGUUUAAGUAUUGAAAUGCUAACAACAACCAAAGAUAGUUUGGUUUGCUCUUAGCAGAAUGAUGCCUGUAAUCCCAGGUACUCCGGAGGCUGAGGCAGGAGAAUCGCUGAACCUGGAAGGUGGAGGUUGUGGUGAGCCGAGAUUGGGCCAUUGCACCCCAGCCUGGACAGCAAGAGUGAAACUCCAUCUCAAAAAAAAAAAAAAGAUAAAGGCAGGUGCAGGGUAGGCUAGAAAUCCAGAAAGUUGUCCAUAGACUGACAGUGAUGAGGGCGUGUGUGAUCAUUUUCCACUUCAUGCGUCGGAAUGCACACAACUGCUUUCUUCAAACUGUUAACAGUACUGCUAAGAACUGAAUUAACAGUUGAGAUAUUAAGUAACUUUAUUUUAGCCAUGUGGCAAAAAUCAACCAGUCCAUCACAGGCCAAGGAUUUGCAUUUGAGGAGCAGACAGAGAGGAGGUGUUAAUGUGGAAGGGGCUGCGGGACACCUGUCGAGCUGCUCUCCUGGGUUAGAGGGCUGGUGGCGAUACUGCCUUUCAGUUGAAUGGCACUUUUGAUGGUUUUCCCAUUUGAUUGUUACGGUUGUGGACCAUGGGUAGAGUGUAGCUGUCUUUGCACACAUUUUGUGGAUACAUAAACCAAGAGGAAUAAUAACUUAAGUGACAUGUUUGAGGUUGGAAGGGUCAGUUUGUUUCAAACAUGGAAGGACAGUGAGUCAGCUUUUUUUUUUUUUUUUUUUUUUUUUUGAGGCAGGGUUCACCUUGUCACCCAGGCUGGAAUAGAGUGGUGUAGACACAGCUCACUGCAGCUUCAACCUCCUGGACUCAAGCAGUCCUCACACCUAACCUCCCGAGCAGCAGGGACUACAGGCAUGCACCACCACGCCUGGCUAUUUUCUAUAUUUCUAUUUUAGAGAUGGGGUUUCACCAUGUUGCCCAGGCUGCUCGAACUCCUGGGCUCAAGUGAUCCUGCCUGCCUCAGCUUCUCAAAGUGCAGGGAUUACAAGCGUGAGCCACCACUCCUGGCCGUGAAUUAGCAUUUUGUUGUCUUUUUUUAUUUGUUUUGAGACAGGGUCUCAAAACAGCCUUGAGCACUGUUGCCCUGGGCACUGUUGCCCAGGCUGGAGUGCAGUAGUGUGAUCAUAGCUCACUGCAGCCUUGACUUCCUGGGCUCAAGUGAGGCUCCCACGUCAGCCCGCAAAGUAGCUGGGAAUACAGGUGCGCACCACCACACCUGGAUCAUUUUUGUAUUUUUGGGAGGGACCAGGUUUCACCAUGUUGCUUGGGUUGGUCUCAAACUCCUGGCCUCAAAUGAUCCUCCCACCCGAGCCCCCCAAAGUGCUGGGAUUACAGGCAGGAGCCGCUAUGCCUAGCUAGCGAAUUAGCAUUUAAAAAAUAUAUACUUCCUGGUUCCCCCUACAGGAGUGUUGAUUCAGCAAGGUGAGGCCCAGGAGUCUGCAUUUGAAUCAGCUCCACAGGUGGUUACUGUGCAGCCAGUCUGUACUUCCCGUCUUGCCUGUGCCGCCUCAACAUCGUGGAGCCUGCGUGUUUUGCUAACUCGAGAGCCCAGGUGUGCAGUGCAUUAUUUUUCCUGAUAGGCAGCAUUCUGGUUUUGUGAAUGGGUGUGCCUUUGGUUCCAUUGCCAUCAUCUGGGCUGCGGACAUUGACUGGGUUCCCCCUGGGUGCCCAGCACUUUGUCACAGGUCUGGGCUUCUGCUUUUCAGAGUAGAGUGGGGAAGACAGCUGGACAUGCAGCCGGGAAGUGAGGAAUGCCGGGGCUGGGGGCGGGUGUGACCACCUAGCAAGGGGACCUGUCCAUGCCCACGUGGGAAGUAGAGGAGGCCUCUGCAGGAAAUGGCCUCAAGCUGUGAACAUCAGGUAAGUGGGAGCUGGUCAGGGAAAAGUGGCAGCUUCAGAGGUCAGAGGGAACAACCGUGGUGUGGAGGGCCAGCAGAGGAACAGACGGCAUGUUGAGCGAGCUGUAGAUUGCUGUGACCGAUGUGCUGUGAGGCAUGAGGUGAG
Molecule: long non-coding RNA, 2252 nt
Filed under: Homo sapiens (human)
Lineage: Eukaryota; Metazoa; Chordata; Mammalia; Primates; Hominidae
Description: non-protein coding lnc-CTTN-8:1
Source: RNAcentral